UAGUCCACGCCGUAAACGAUGUCUGCUAGCCGUCGGGGUACUUGGUACUUCGGUGGCGCCGCUAACGCAUUAAGCAGACCGCCUGGGGAGUACGGUCGCAAGAUUAAAACUUAAAGGAAUUGACGGGGGCCCGCACAAGCAGUGGAGCAUGUGGUUUAAUUCGAAGCAACGCGCAGAACCUUACCAGCCCUUGACAUCCCGUGCUACACCCAGAGAUGGAUGGUUCCCUUCGGGGACACGGUGACAGGUGCUGCAUGGCUGUCGUCAGCUCGUGUCGUGAGAUGUUGGGUUAAGUCCCGCAACGAGCGCAACCCUUGUCUUUAGUUGCCAUCAUUAAGUUGGGCACUUUAAAGAGACUGCCGGUGACAAACCGGAGGAAGGUAAGGAUGACGUCAAGUCAGCAUGCCCCUUAUGCUCUGGGCUACACACGUGCUACAAUGGCCGUGACAAAGAGUUGCUACUUUGUGAAAACAAGCUAAUCUCAUAAACGCGGCCUCAGUUCGGAUUGC
RNAcentral lists this ribosomal RNA (509 nucleotides) under uncultured bacterium. Its description in RNAcentral is "bacterial SSU rRNA". It matches the Rfam family "Bacterial small subunit ribosomal RNA", at positions 791 to 1301 of the family's 1533-position model. The record is from RNAcentral.